Non-coding RNA from Caenorhabditis elegans, 145 nucleotides. The record is from Ensembl. NCBI's taxonomy places the organism in Eukaryota, Metazoa, Nematoda, Chromadorea, Rhabditida, Rhabditidae.
AGAGAGAAUGAAGGGUUUUAUUUAGAUUAGGUCAGAUUGAAGUGAACAAUAAAAAACCAACUUUCUAAACACGCCCUCGUUUUUUUCGUUCUUUUUUCCGAAAUCAUCUCAUUCUCUCAAUUCGAAUAGGUUGGCGCCGCGAAGG